Camelus ferus (Wild Bactrian camel) is the source of this 72-nucleotide transfer RNA. It matches the Rfam family "tRNA". From Rfam's summary of the family: Transfer RNA (tRNA) molecules are approximately 80 nucleotides in length. Their secondary structure includes four short double-helical elements and three loops (D, anti-codon, and T loops). Further hydrogen bonds mediate the characteristic L-shaped molecular structure. tRNAs have two regions of fundamental functional importance: the anti-codon, which is responsible for specific mRNA codon recognition, and the 3' end, to which the tRNAs corresponding amino acid is attached (by aminoacyl-tRNA synthetases). tRNAs cope with the degeneracy of the genetic code in two manners: having more than one tRNA (with a specific anti-codon) for a particular amino acid; and 'wobble' base-pairing, i.e. permitting non-standard base-pairing at the 3rd anti-codon position. The record is from Rfam. Lineage: Eukaryota; Metazoa; Chordata; Mammalia; Artiodactyla; Camelidae.
GAGGGUAUAGCUCAGUGGUAGAGUGCAUGCUUAGCAUGCACGAGGUUCUGGGUUCAAUUCUCAGUACCUCUG